Molecule: ribosomal RNA, 497 nt
Filed under: uncultured bacterium
Lineage: Bacteria
Description: partial 16S ribosomal RNA
Rfam family: Bacterial small subunit ribosomal RNA
Source: RNAcentral
GAUGAACGCUGGCGGCGUGCCUAAUACAUGCAAGUCGAGCGAACGGACGAGAAGCUUUCUUCUCUGAUGUUAGCGUCGGACGGGGGAGUAACACGUGGAUAACCUACCUAUAAGACUGGGCUAACUUCGGGAAACCGGAGCUAAUACCGGAUGAUAUUUUGAACAGCAUGGUUCAAAAGUGAAAGACGGUCUUGCUGUCACUUAUAGAUGGGUCCGCACUGCAUUAGCUAGUUGGUAAGGUAACGGCUUACCAAGGCAACGAUGCAUAGCCGACCUGAGAGGACGAUCGGCAACACUGGAACGGAGACACGGUCCAGACUCCUAAGGGAGGCAGCAGUAGGGAAUCUUCCGCAAUGGGCGAAAGCCUGACGGAGCAACGCCGCGUGAGUGAUGAAGGUCUUCGGAUCGUAAAACUCUGUUAUUAGGGAAGAACAUAUGUGUAAGUAACUGUGCACAUCUUGACGGUACCUAAUCAGAAAGCCACGGCUAACUACGUG